RNAcentral lists this ribosomal RNA (818 nucleotides) under marine metagenome. RNAcentral describes it as "bacterial SSU rRNA". It matches the Rfam family "Bacterial small subunit ribosomal RNA", at positions 208 to 1012 of the family's 1533-position model. The record is from RNAcentral.
UCUUCGGACCUUGCGCUAAUAGAUGAGCCUAAGUCGGAUUAGCUAGUUGGUGGGGUAAAGGCCUACCAAGGCGACGAUCUGUAGCGGGUCUGAGAGGAUGAUCCGCCACACUGGGACUGAGACACGGCCCAGACUCCUACGGGAGGCAGCAGUGGGGAAUAUUGGACAAUGGGGGGAACCCUGAUCCAGCCAUGCCGCGUGUGUGAAGAAGGCCUUAUGGUUGUAAAGCACUUUAAGCGAGGAGGAGGCUACUGAGAUUAAUACUCUUGGAUAGUGGACGUUACUCGCAGAAUAAGCACCGGCUAACUCUGUGCCAGCAGCCGCGGUAAUACAGAGGGUGCGAGCGUUAAUCGGAUUUACUGGGCGUAAAGCGUGCGUAGGCGGCUUUUUAAGUCGGAUGUGAAAUCCCCGAGCUUAACUUGGGAAUUGCAUUCGAUACUGGGAAGCUAGAGUAUGGGAGAGGAUGGUAGAAUUCCAGGUGUAGCGGUGAAAUGCGUAGAGAUCUGGAGGAAUACCGAUGGCGAAGGCAGCCAUCUGGCCUAAUACUGACGCUGAGGUACGAAAGCAUGGGGAGCAAACAGGAUUAGAUACCCUGGUAGUCCAUGCCGUAAACGAUGUCUACUAGCCGUUGGGGCCUUUGAGGCUUUAGUGGCGCAGCUAACGCGAUAAGUAGACCGCCUGGGGAGUACGGUCGCAAGACUAAAACUCAAAUGAAUUGACGGGGGCCCGCACAAGCGGUGGAGCAUGUGGUUUAAUUCGAUGCAACGCGAAGAACCUUACCUGGCCUUGACAUACUAGAAACUUUCCAGAGAUGGAUU